Molecule: long non-coding RNA, 2773 nt
Filed under: Nicotiana tabacum (common tobacco)
Lineage: Eukaryota; Viridiplantae; Streptophyta; Magnoliopsida; Solanales; Solanaceae
Description: long non-coding RNA (NTAB_LNC016121)
Source: RNAcentral
CGAUUCAUGGUUUUGAUGUUGUUAUACGUGAUUUGAGGCCCCGAGUAGGUUCGUGUUAUGUUAUGGGACUCGUUGGUAUAUUUGGACGAGGUCCCGAGGGGCUCGGGGUGAGUUUCAGACGUGGUUCAGAUCAUUUUGCCUCAUGCUGCAUCGCUGAAGUAAUAAUGGUGCUGGUGUUUCCCCAUCUGCAGAGGUUUGGACGCAGAUGCGGGCGUUUCAUCGCAAAAGCGGAAGUGGCAGGCUGGGCGUGAAAGUCGUAGGUGCGGGUGCAUGGUCGCAUCUGCGCGACCGCAGGUGUAGUUCUAUAUGCCUAGAAUCGCAACCGCAGAAGCGGAGAGAUGAUCGCAGAAGCAGAGGCUACUGAGUUUGGGCAUGUUCGCAGAAGCGAAGCCUAGGCCGCACAUGCGAGUUCGCAGAAGUUGGAAUUUGUUCGCAAAUGCGAAAAUAGGUGGGCAGAAGUUAUAAAUCGAGGGUUAGAGUGAUUUUAUCAUAUUCUGAGUUGGGGAGCUCAGAUUUGGGCGAUUUUAGAGGCGAUUUUCACCACAAGGAUUGGGGUAAGUGUUCUCUACUUGGUUUUGAGUAUAUUUCAUGAAUCUAUCUUCGUUUUUGGUAAUUGUAUUAUGAAUUUUAAAGAGAAAUUUGGGGGGUUUUGUCUAAAAUUUCAUAAAUUGAAUUUUUGAGUUUUGAAUAUUGAUUCAGAGUCGGCUUUGAGUGAAACUAGUAUGGUUGGACUAGUAAUUGAAUGAGUUAUCGGGUUUUGUGAGUUUUGUCAGGAUUUGAGGUGCGGGCUCGGGUUUGACUUUUUGGUUGACUUUGAGUAAAUGUAUAAAGAUUCGACCUUUAUCGAUUGAGUUUGAUUCUUAUGGCAUUAAUUGAUGAUUUUGAGUUGCUUUUGGCUAGUUUCGAGCCGCUCGGAGGAUGAUUUGAGCGGAUGGCGCUUCUAGUGUAUCGAUUUGGCUUGUUUGAGGUAAGUGUCUUGCCUAACUUUGUUGAGAAAAUUUUUCCUACUAAUUGCCAUUGUUUGCUACAUGCGGGGGUGAUGCAUAUAUGAGGUGACGAGCGUAUAUGCAUGUGCAAGGGUUAAUCAUGCUCGAGGGUAAAUUAUAUGAUUAAUUGUGCCUUGUAGAAUUAUGUGACUUUCUUGUUUCCUGUUUUACUUGACUUCUAGAUUACUAAGAAUAUGAAAUUAAAUGUUAGAAACCAAGAUUUAGCUUAUUACAACUUGAUUAAAUUUUGACGGAUUUUUGUGAAACCAUUGAUGUGUUUAAUUCGGUCAUCACUAUGUUUAAUCAUUAAUAUAUCGCUACGACCGUUAUUCUUGAGAUAUUGGAUUCUAUACUUGAGUUAAAGAUCAUUUUUUAGACUUGUCGAAAUACUUGAACAAUAAAGUACUUGAGGUUUAUUGAAUUGCUAUUGGCUUGAAAGAUGUGAUUGAUGUUCAAUUGGAAUAUUCACUUAAACACUCUCCUUGAUGUUAUUCAUGCUCCCUACCUUGCUUGUCAUUGAUAUACAUAUGCUUGGUGAGGAAGAUGUAAAGCAUGAAGGGUGAUGUCGUGCCAUUUUAUUUACAUUAUCAUGUGAGGAUAAAAGUAAAAGAACGAAGGGUGAUGUUGUGCCAUUUCACUUACAUUAUCAUGAUCUCAUUUACAUUAUCAUGUGAGGAUGAGAGUAAACGCACGAAGGGUGAUACCGUGCUGUNNNNNNNNNNNNNNNNNNNNNNNNCCGUGUAGGCGAGGACGAGGGACAUGUAUUAUGUUGUGAUAUCUUUUUCUUGUGUAUACGUUCAUGCCUUUACCUUCAGCUGUUACUGUUAUACCUAUGUUUUCAAUGUGACUUGUCGUUGUUGUUCUGUCUUUGUCUUCUAUCUCAAUUGUUGUUGUGUUGCCCAUGCCUUCUAUUUGUUUAACUUGCAAAUAUCAUAUUUUCCUUCUUGUUGUUAUAUCUACAUCCAUGCCGUUCCUCAUUUGUUGCACUUUCGUAUAAACUUUCGAUCAUGUUAGUUAUUCAUGCCUUCUAGUUGUUAGCUCAUAAAGAUCAUGCUUUCCCUCUUGUUUGUUAUAUCUACACCUAAGUCUUCUACUAUGCUAGUUAGUGAAAUUUAUAUUCUUCUUUCCUAAUUUAUGUCAUUAUUUCUAUGCCUUCUACCUAGUAUGUUACCGUUGUCCAUAUGUACUGCCUUGUUCGUUAUUGCUACAUGUGUAUUUUCCACUUUGUCAUUACUAUUAUUGGCAUUUCUUUCACCCGGUUGGUACUAUUAUAUGUGUAUUUGGUGAGGAUGAUAUUAAUGCACGAAGUGUGUUUGUGUGCCAUUGACUUGAUAUCUUGAGUACAUUUCUCACACUAUGAAAGUUAUGGAUUUACUAUCGUGGUUUAUUAGUUAUCGCUCUAAGGAAAGGAUUGGUCGAGAUAUUGGGAAAUAUUAAAUUGUGAUUUCUUCUAGUACUCAUUUACUGCUUCACAUAUUCGUUUCCUGUACUCUUUUCUGUUAUAUAAUAGUAUUGUUCUAUUGCUAGUUUACUGCACAAGUUAUAUCAGUGAGUAUCUUUUAACUAAAAAGCCUCAUUACUACUUCACCGAGGUUAGUCAAAAUACUUACUGAGUAUAUGGGGUCGGUUGUACUCAUACUACACUUCCGCACUUUGCGUUCAGAUCUUGGAGCAGAGCUGCGGUGGAUGACGGGAGCUGACUCUGAAGAUGUUCGUGCCUUCCGAGUGUGGCUACCACUUGUCCCUAGGUAGUUUUAAAAAUUGAAUUCUGUUUAUGUACAUUUCGA